GUUUCAGAGAAAGCUGGUGGAAAAAGCAGCUUUGAAUCACUCGUCUCAAGAUGAUCAUAGAGCCUGCUGCCUCACUGAGAAUAUAAAUUGCCAGAGGAAUAAUUGGAAACCAUGUGGAAAGUGAAAAAAUACCAACAAUACAUGGAUUCAUUUAUGUGUGUGUAUUUUCUAGAUUUCCAGUGGGUUCAAGGAGAUGUGUGUGAAGUUCAGCUGAUGGUAUAUAACCCAAUGCCGUUUGAACUUCGAGUUGAAAACAUGGGGCUGCUCACCAGCGGAGUGGAGUUCGAGUCUCUCCCUGCGGCACUUUCUCUUCCGGCUGAAUCUGGUCUGUACCCAGUGACACUCGUCGGGGUCCCGCAGACGACUGGAACGAUUACUGUGAACGGUUACCAUACUACGGUCUUCGGUGUGUUCAGUGACUGUUUGCUGGAUAACCUGCCAGGAAUAAAAACCAGUGGCUCCACAGUCGAAGUCAUUCCCGCGUUGCCAAGACUGCAGAUCAGCACCUCUCUGCCCAGAUCUGCACAUUCAUUGCAACCUUCUUCUGGUGAUGAAAUAUCUACUAAUGUAUCUGUUCAGCUUUACAAUGGAGAAAGUCAGCAACUAAUCAUUAAAUUGGAAAAUAUUGGAAUGGAACCAUUGGAGAAACUAGAGGUCACCUCGAAAGUUCUCACCACUAAAGAAAAAUUGUAUGGCGACUUCUUGAGCUGGAAGCUAGAGGAAACCCUUGCCCAGUUCCCUUUGCAGCCUGGGAAGGUGGCCACGUUCACAAUCAACAUCAAAGUGAAGCUGGAUUUCUCCUGCCAGGAGAAUCUGCUGCAGGAUCUCAGUGAUGAUGGAAUCAGUGUGAGUGGCUUUCCCCUGUCCAGUCCUUUUCGGCAGGUCGUUCGGCCCCGAGUGGAGGGCAAACCUGUGAACCCACCCGAGAGCAACAAAGCAGGCGACUACAGCCACGUGAAGACCCUGGAAGCUAUCCUGAAUUUCAAAUACUCUGGAGGCCCGGGCCACACUGAAGGAUAUUACAGGAAUCUCUCCCUGGGGCUGCAUGUAGAAGUCGAGCCGUCUGUAUUUUUCACCCGAGUCAGCACUCUCCCAGCAACCAGUACCCGGCAGUGUCACCUGCUCCUAGAUGUCUUCAACUCCACCGAGCAUGAGCUGACCGUCAGCACCAGAAGCAGCGAGGCGCUCAUCCUGCAUGCCGGCGAGUGCCAGCGAAUGGCUAUUCAAGUGGACAAGUUCAACUUUGAGAGUUUCCCGGAGUCCCCUGGGGAGAAGGGGCAAUUUGCAAACCCCAAGCAGCUGGAGGAAGAGCGGCGGGAAGCCCGAGGCCUGGAGAUCCACAGCAAGCUGGGCAUCUGCUGGAGAAUCCCCUCCCUGAAGCGCAGCGGCGAGGCGAGUGUGGAAGGACUCCUGAACCAGCUCGUCCUGGAGCACCUGCAGCUGGCACCUCUGCAGUGGGAUGUGCUGGUGGACGGACAGCCAUGUGACCGCGAGGCUGCGGCGGCCUGCCAGGUGGGCGACCCUGUGCGCCUGGAGGUGCGGCUGACCAACCGGAGCCCGCGCAGCGUAGGGCCCUUCGCCCUCACCGUGGUCCCCUUCCAGGACCACCAGAAUGGCGUGCACAACUACGACCUGCACGACACCAUCUCCUUCGUGGGCUCCAGCACCUUCUACCUCGACGCAGUGCAGCCGUCCGGCCAGUCGGCCUGCCUCGGGGCCCUCCUCUUCCUCUACACGGGAGACUUCUUCCUCCACAUCCGGUUCCACGAGGACAGCACCAGCAAGGAGCUGCCACCCUCUUGGUUCUGCCUGCCCAGCGUGCACGUGCGCGCCCUGGAGGCGCAGGCCUGAGCCCGCCCACUUCCGUCCCUCUUUCUGCAGGGCCAGAGGUGACCCUGCCUGGCCUCUUACACCCCCUGCGAUGAGCAAGGCCUUCACUGCAGCCCCGUCUCCUCCUCCUCCCCCAACCCCCUCCCAGCCCUCUCCUCCUGUUCCUCCUGUAGCAUCUUUGCUGGGCUAC
This 2020-nucleotide small RNA is filed under the name Pongo abelii (Sumatran orangutan). RNAcentral describes it as "processed transcript". Lineage: Eukaryota; Metazoa; Chordata; Mammalia; Primates; Hominidae. The record is from RNAcentral.